UUGACUGUUCAGGAUUCUCCAUUCACAGACCACAAGCACCACAAAUAUCAGCAGUACAAGCUUCCCUAGGUGGCCCUGCCAAUAGGCCUUCAACUCUGACCUGAAGAGAAAACUUCUAUAGAUAUGAGGGUAGUUCAUUUUCUGUGCUCAUUCAUUCUUGUUCUGUC
Unclassified non-coding RNA from Chelonoidis abingdonii (Abingdon island giant tortoise), 167 nucleotides. The record is from Ensembl. NCBI's taxonomy places the organism in Eukaryota, Metazoa, Chordata, Testudines, Testudinidae.